Molecule: transfer RNA, 66 nt
Filed under: Dermestidae sp. GENSP01
Lineage: Eukaryota; Metazoa; Arthropoda; Insecta; Coleoptera; Dermestidae
Description: tRNA-Asn
Source: RNAcentral
UUAAUCGAAACCAAAAUAUAGAGGUAUGUCACUGUUAAUGACAAAAUUAGGAAACCCUCGAUUAAA